GACGAACGCUGGCGGCGUGCUUAACACAUGCAAGUCGAACGGAAAGGCCCUGCUUGCAGGGUACUCGAGUGGCGAACGGGUGAGUAACACGUGGGUGAUCUGCCCUGCACUUCGGGAUAAGCUUGAGAAACUGGGUCUAAUACCGGAUAGGAACCAUCUUUAGUGUGGUGGUUGGAAAGUUUUUUCGGUGUAGGAUGAGCUCGCGGCCUAUCAGCUUGUUGGUGGGGUAAUGGCCUACCAAGGCGGCGACGGGUAGCCGGCCUGAGAGGGUGUACGGCCACAUUGGGACUGAGAUACGGCCCAGACUCCUACGGGAGGCAGCAGUGGGGAAUAUUGCACAAUGGGCGCAAGCCUGAUGCAGCGACGCCGCGUGGGGGAUGAAGGCCUUCGGGUUGUAAACUCCUUUCGCUAGGGACGAAGCUUUUUGUGACGGUACCUAGAUAAGAAGCACCGGCUAACUACGUG
Molecule: ribosomal RNA, 465 nt
Filed under: uncultured bacterium
Lineage: Bacteria
Description: partial 16S ribosomal RNA
Rfam family: Bacterial small subunit ribosomal RNA
Source: RNAcentral